RNAcentral lists this ribosomal RNA (483 nucleotides) under uncultured bacterium. RNAcentral's name for it is "partial 16S ribosomal RNA". It matches the Rfam family "Bacterial small subunit ribosomal RNA", at positions 28 to 523 of the family's 1533-position model. The record is from RNAcentral.
GACGAACGCUGGCGGCGUGCUUAACACAUGCAAGUCGAACGAUGAAGCCCAGCUUGCUGGGUGGAAGAGUGGCGAACGGGUGAGUAACACGUGAGUAACCUGCCUUUCACUCUGGGAUAAGCGCUGGAAACGGUGUCUAAUACUGGAUACGACCCUUACAGGCAUCUGUUGGGGGUGGAAAGAUUUAUCGGUGAAGGAUGGGCUCGCGGCCUAUCAGGUAGUUGGUGAGGUAACGGCUCACCAAGCCGACGACGGGUAGCCGGCCUGAGAGGGUGACCGGCCACACUGGGACAGAGACACGGCCCAGACUCCUACGGGAGGCAGCAGUGGGGAAUAUUGCACAAUGGGCGAAAGCCUGAUGCAGCAACGCCGCGUGAGGGAUGACGGCCUUCGGGUUGUAAACCUCUUUUAGUAGGGAAGAAGCGUAAGUGACGGUACCUGCAGAAAAAGUACCGGCUAACUACGUGCCAGCCGCCGCAGUAA